UACGGGGGGGAGCAAGCGUUGUUCGGAUUUACUGGGCGUAAAGGGCGCGUAGGCGGCCAGCACAAGUCAGUUGUGAAAUCUCCGAGCUUAACUCGGAAAGGUCAACUGAUACUGUGCGGCUAGAGUGCGGAAGGGGCAACUGGAAUUCUUGGUGUAGCGGUGAAAUGCGUAGAUAUCAAGAGGAACACCUGCGGCGAAGGCGGGUUGCUGGGCCGAUACUGACGCUGAGGAGCGAAAGCGUGGGGAGCAAACAGG
Molecule: ribosomal RNA, 255 nt
Filed under: uncultured bacterium
Lineage: Bacteria
Description: partial 16S ribosomal RNA
Rfam family: Bacterial small subunit ribosomal RNA
Source: RNAcentral